Molecule: ribosomal RNA, 427 nt
Filed under: uncultured bacterium
Lineage: Bacteria
Description: partial 16S ribosomal RNA
Rfam family: Bacterial small subunit ribosomal RNA
Source: RNAcentral
UGGGGAAUUUUGGACAAUGGGGGAAACCCUGAUCCAGCCAUCCCGCGUGUGCGAUGAAGGCCUUCGGGUUGUAAAGCACUUUUGGCAGGAAAGAAACGUCGCGGGUUAAUACCCCGCGAAACUGACGGUACCUGCAGAAUAAGCACCGGCUAACUACGUGCCAGCAGCCGCGGUAAUACGUAGGGUGCAAGCGUUAAUCGGAAUUACUGGGCGUAAAGCGUGCGCAGGCGGUUCGGAAAGAAAGAUGUGAAAUCCCAGAGCUUAACUUUGGAACUGCAUUUUUAACUACCGGGCUAGAGUGUGUCAGAGGGAGGUGGAAUUCCGCGUGUAGCAGUGAAAUGCGUAGAUAUGCGGAGGAACACCGAUGGCGAAGGCAGCCUCCUGGGAUAACACUGACGCUCAUGCACGAAAGCGUGGGGAGCAAACA